GCUCUGAGUUCCAGGGAUUCAUUUCUUUCCCCAAAUCCAGCCUACUUUGCGGGGUAGGAUCAGGUCAGCUGAGUCAUCUUAACAAAAGUCACUGCAUUUUACUUUUCUAAGUCACCCCUCUUGGCCUUCCAGGGACUUUCCUUUAUUUUGACACCAUUUCAGCAAAAACCAUUGAACAGGGAUAACUCUUUUCCGUGGAGUAUUUGACUGCUUUCCUCAAAGUCUCCUCUACUCCUAGGGAAGGAAGGAGACUGUGAACAUGAGUUGGAGCAGGCAGUUUUAUGGAAUAGGUUGAUCCGUCAGGCCUUUUGUGUGUGUAGGCUAUCUGUCUCAUAGCAUGGGAACUGAUGGACUCUGCUCCCAGGACAUACUGGUGCUGUUAUCUGGUGAAGUGCAGCUGAUACUUUAGCUCUGAGAUGAAUUUUACUUGGGAUACGACCAGCCAACGUUUCAGGAGAGCUUCACUUACUCUUUCAGCUUGGGCCUCGAACCUAGAGUACAUCACUUCUGCUGCAUCCUGUUGGUUACAGCCACCAUCAAACCUGCCCAGACUUCAGGAGAAGGAACAUACAUUAGGAGUAAGAACUUGGUUGGUUCUCAGUCUAAUGCCUACGAAAAAAGGUACCAGCAACACAGAAGUUCCUUGAAGGAUGCUAAAACUUUUCUCUUGAUAACCAUGACUGAAGAUUAAUGCUUUAGGGAUAGGCAGGGAUGCUGAAUGAGGCCAGCUUGCCAGUCUCUAUAUGACCUCAAGUUUAGAAAGUGACAGUGACAGAAGCAUAAUUUUGGAUACCCAUACAUGUUAAGGGAAACUAAGAUCCACAAGCCGAUGAAGAUGUGGUCUGGGCUUCAUCUUUGCUGCCUGCCAGAGUAGCUCAGGGCAAAAACCUUAAAAUGAUGCCAGCCUCUUUUGCCAAUUGCCCCCCAUAGAUGGUCCCUUGCAGCCUGGGAAACAGGGAAACCAAGAGUCACGGAUGUCAUUUACACCAGAAGAGUCAAGCCCUUGGAAGAGCAGCUGCCUUCCUUCCUUUGCUAUACCAGGAGCUCCUGGGAGUUACAGGAAGCUCCAGUUACCACUGCCUCCAUCAGACGGGAUCCUUCUUCAGGAAUGCAAGCUUUGACAUUGCAUCUCCAGUGGCAGUCUCUUCUGUACUCCCAGCACUUAGCAUGUAGGCCCUGGAGGAAUCCAGAAGCAGUGGCUCCUUCCUUCCUACCAAGGCAGGAAUGUUAAGUCACCUCUUCAUGACUAUACCUCUGCCCCCCAUUAUUGUUAUCUCUCUUUCCAGUCACAAGCACUCCUGAGAAAUAAACUUCAGAUACGAUGUGCACUGACUCUCCUUCCAUGUUUUUUUCCAGCUCAGCACCUGAAGUGCCCAUUCCAUUUAAUUAUUCUCUGAGACACUGAAGAUGGGAGGAGGCUAUCUUUAGUGGAUCCCAAA
RNAcentral lists this long non-coding RNA (1439 nucleotides) under Homo sapiens (human). RNAcentral describes it as "HSALNT0267169". The record is from RNAcentral. Lineage: Eukaryota; Metazoa; Chordata; Mammalia; Primates; Hominidae.